This 253-nucleotide ribosomal RNA is filed under the name uncultured bacterium. Its description in RNAcentral is "partial 16S ribosomal RNA". It matches the Rfam family "Bacterial small subunit ribosomal RNA", at positions 524 to 776 of the family's 1533-position model. The record is from RNAcentral.
UACGGAGGGUGCAAGCGUUAUCCGGAUUCACUGGGUUUAAAGGGUGUGUAGGCGGCCAGAUAAGUCCGCUGUGAAAUCUCGAGGCUCAACUUCGAGCUGUCGGUGGAAACUGUCUGGCUAGAGUCCGGAAGAGGAGAAUGGAAUUCCUGGUGUAGCGGUGAAAUGCGCAGAUAUCAGGAAGAACACCGGUGGCGAAGGCGGAUCUCUGGGCCUUACCUGACGCUGAGGAGCGAAAGCAUGGGGAGCAAACAGG